This 506-nucleotide ribosomal RNA is filed under the name uncultured bacterium. RNAcentral's name for it is "partial 16S ribosomal RNA". It matches the Rfam family "Bacterial small subunit ribosomal RNA", at positions 29 to 523 of the family's 1533-position model. The record is from RNAcentral.
AGUGAACGCUGGCAGUAGGCCUAACACAUGCAAGUCGAACGGUAGCACAGAGGAGCUUGCUCCUUGGGUGGCGAGUGGCGGAUGGGUGAGGAAUACAUCGGAAUCUACUCUGUCGUGGGGGAUAACGUAGGGAAACUUACGCUAAUACCGCAUACGACCUACGGGUGAAAGCAGGGGAUCUUCGACCCCUGCGCUAUUUAAUGAGCCGAUGUUGGAUUAGGUAGUUGGCGGGGUAAAGGACCACCAAGGCGAAGAUCCGUAGCUGGUCUGAGAAGAUGAUCAGCCACACUGGAACUGAGACACGGUCCAGACUCCUACGGGAGGCAGCAGUGGGGAAUAUUGGACAAUGGGCGCAAGCCUGAUCCAGCCAUACCGCGUGGGUGAAGAAGGCCUUCGGGUUGUAAAGCCCUUUUGUUGGGAAAGAAAUCCAUCUGGUUAAUACCCGGGUGGGAUGACGGUACCCAAAGAAUAAGCACCGGCUAACUUCGUGCCAGCAGCCGCCGUAA